UACGUAGGGGGCAAGCGUUGUCCGGAAUCAUUGGGCGUAAAGCGCGCGUAGGCGGCCCCAUAAGUCCGCUGUGAAAGUCAAAGGCUCAACCUUUGAAUGCCGGUGGAUACUGUGAGGCUAGAGUCCGGAAGAGGCGAGUGGAACUCCUGGUGUAGCGGUGGAAUGCGCAGAUAUCAGGAAGAACACCGACGGCGAAGGCAGCUCGCUGGGACGGUACUGACGCUGAGGCGCGAAAGCGUGGGGAGCAAACAGG
Molecule: ribosomal RNA, 253 nt
Filed under: uncultured bacterium
Lineage: Bacteria
Description: partial 16S ribosomal RNA
Rfam family: Bacterial small subunit ribosomal RNA
Source: RNAcentral